Molecule: ribosomal RNA, 270 nt
Filed under: uncultured archaeon
Lineage: Archaea
Description: partial 16S ribosomal RNA
Rfam family: Archaeal small subunit ribosomal RNA
Source: RNAcentral
CGGCACCUCAAGUGGUCAGGAUGAUUAUUGGGCCUAAAGCAUCCGUAGCCGGCACUGUAAGUUUUCGGUUAAAUCUGUACGCUCAACGUACAGGCUGCCGGGAAUACUGCAGCGCUAGGGAGUGGGAGAGGUAGACGGUACUCGGUAGGAAGGGGUAAAAUCCUUUGAUCUAUUGAUGACCACCUGUGGCGAAGGCGGUCUACCAGAACACGUCCGACGGUGAGGGAUGAAAGCUGGGGGAGCGAACCGGAUUAGAUACCCGCGUAGUCC